AAAACUCAAUUCACCAUCCAUUUUCACCACAUUCUAUUCCCAUCCAUUCACACAAAAACAAAAACAAAAAACAUGCGAAAAACAAGCCAAGCCUCCUAAAUUUCUGUGUUAGAAUUCCAAUUGACCAUAAAAAAAUCCCACAUUCUCAUGCAAUAAAUAACCCCCUUCAUCCCACCAUGCAAAUCAUCUUCAAAAACAACACUCUUCUCUA
Molecule: long non-coding RNA, 211 nt
Filed under: Erythranthe guttata (spotted monkey flower)
Lineage: Eukaryota; Viridiplantae; Streptophyta; Magnoliopsida; Lamiales; Phrymaceae
Description: long non-coding RNA (EGUT_LNC000429)
Source: RNAcentral